This 3288-nucleotide long non-coding RNA is filed under the name Bemisia tabaci. Its description in RNAcentral is "lncRNA ENSSSA1UGG008077". The record is from RNAcentral. Lineage: Eukaryota; Metazoa; Arthropoda; Insecta; Hemiptera; Aleyrodidae.
CUUUAAAAUUUCCACCACACUUUUACUCACACUUGUGAUUAGGAGAUUCAUUACCGCUAUCAAUCAUAAUUGUCCUUUACAUUUGAAGUUUUAGAAGUGCCAGGCUGUGAGUGUCUGCCAAAUUUUUGAUCAUUGAAUUUCAUUUUUGGAAAUAUAUCAAGGAAUGGCCUUAUAUUUCAGGUACCCAACGGAAGAACCCUCAGAGGGGCUGCCUGGUGUGCAGUUUCUGGAUGCACCAGCAAUUCCAAAAGCAAUUCAAAGGACUCAGAAAAAACAAGUUUCUUCUACUUUCCUGCCGAUGAAAACAGGCUCGGUUAAACCUGGUACCAGCUACUCACUGAUCAUGGACCUCAAAGCAGUAGCAGCGAUGCCUCCCUGAACAUUCAGGAUGAAGCUGUUUUUGUGUUUUGCAUAUUCACUAUGAAUUGCUUUUAAGUAUAAGUGACAUGUCGAUGGUGAAACUACCAGACCACAUAUUGACGGUGAAACUAUACUAAACUUGUCUUGUCUUGUCUUGACUUGUCUUUUGAUAUUAUUUAAGAUUUUUCACUUAAAUAUUAAUUUUUACUACUUUAUCUUAAAAAGUGUGUUUCACAUGCUUUCUUUCAUUCAAGCUUUCAAUUAAAAGCAAUUUAUUAUGCUACCUUAGUACAGUUAAUUUACUGCAGCUAUUUAAUUUUCUCACUGAGCAGAACUUAUCUAAAAUUUUUACCAAACUACGUAUCUCGGUUUGCGACGUUGCAGACUUUCUCCCGUACUUUAUUUUUUAAAUAGAAAACUACUGAACGUAAAGUCUUGAAAAUCUCCCUGUUUUUCUUCUCUGUACAAAGAAAACUCUGUGCAAAUUUCAAGAAUUGUUAUUGGUUUGUUCUCUUUCAAAAAAAUAAAAUAGGAGUGGAGUUUUUCAAACACCGCAAACGAGAUACGUGGUCUGGUAGUUUCACCGUCGAUAUCUCGUUUGCUGUGUUUAAAAACCUCCACUCACAUUUUAUUUUUUUAAAAGAGGUCAAAUCAAUUGCAUUCCUUACAAUUUUCACAGAUUUUUCUCCGCACAAAGAGGAAAAAUCACGGAAGUUUUCACGAAUUGACGUUGAGUAGUUUCCCAUUUAAAAAAUAAAGUUUGACAGGAAAUCUGCGACGUCGCAAACCGAGAUAAGUGGUUUGGUAGUUUCACCGUCGAUGUCUACCAUAUCUUUGCCUGAAUUUUUGCUGGCUAUAAUCAAUCUAAAUUGUGUCAGAAUCAUAACAGUUAAUAUGAGAGAUAUUGGACGUUUUAAACUUACUAUUGUUGCUCAGGUUAAUUUUAAUUAGUUGUAAGUUUUUCCCCUCUGCUCAACUUUUCUGUAAAUGUCUAAAGUUAAUAGACGUUUUAGACUUUUAUUAGAACCAUAUCUUUGCCUGAAUCUUUGCUGGCCAUAAUCAAUCUAAAUUGUGUCAGAAUCGUAACAGUUAAUGUGAGAAAUAUUGGACGUUUUAAACUUACUAUUGUUGCUCAGGUUAAUUUUAAUUAGUUUUCAGUUUUUCCCCUCUGCUCAACUUUACUGUAUUUGUCUAAAGUUUAUUAGACGUUUUAGACUUUUACCUCACUCUGUGAAUGAUACUUAGUCUUCCUCUACAAGUUCUGUCUUUGACAUAAUUUGUCCUUUAUCUAAGGCGAUCGAAAGAUGUUUUUGAAAAUUUUGAUUGUAUAAGUGUGAUUUGGAGCUAUUUUUCCAGUUCCUCUAGUCUUGCACAAAUCUUUUCCUCAGGGCAAGGACUUCAAAGCAGUAGCAGUCAUUAUUAUGCCUCCCUGAACAUUCAGGAUGAAGCUGUUUCUGCGUUUUGCAUAUUCACUAUGAAUUGCUUUCAAAUAUAAGUGACAUAUCUACCAUAUCUUUGCCUGAAUCUUUGCUGGCUAUAAUCAAUCUAAAUUGUAUCAGAAUCAUAACAGUUAAUGUGAGAGAUAUUGGACGUUUUAAACUUACUAUUUUUGCUCAGGUUAAUUUUAAGUAGGUUUCAGUUUUUCCCCUCCGCUCAACUUUACUGUAAAUGCCUAAACUUUAUUAGACGUUUUAGACUUUUACCUCACUCUGUGAAUGAUACUUAGUCUUCCUCUACAAGUUCUGUCUUUGACAUAAUUUGUCCUUUAUCUAAGGCGAUCGAAAGAUGUUUUUGAAAAUUUUGAUUGUAUAAGUGUGAUUUGGAGCUAUUUUUCCAGUUCCUCUAGUCUUGCACAAAUCUUUUCCUCAGGGCAAGGACUUCAAAGCAGUAGCAGUCAUUAUUAUGCCUCCCUGAACAUUCAGGAUGAAGCUGUUUCUGCGUUUUGCAUAUUCACUAUGAAUUGCUUUCAAAUAUAAGUGACAUAUCUACCAUAUCUUUGCCUGAAUCUUUGCUGGCUAUAAUCAAUCUAAAUUGUAUCAGAAUCAUAACAGUUAAUGUGAGAGAUAUUGGACGUUUUAAACUUACUAUUUUUGCUCAGGUUAAUUUUAAGUAGGUUUCAGUUUUUCCCCUCCGCUCAACUUUACUGUAUUUGUCUUUGACAUAAUUUGUCCUUUAUCUAAGGCGAUCAAAAGAUGUUUUUAAAAAUGUUGAUUGUAAAAGUGUGAUUUGGAGCUAUUUUUCCAGUUCAUCUAGUCCUACACAAAUCUUUUCCUUAGGCGAAGGAAUAUUCAUUUCUCUACCUUCUGAUGAAUUUGUAAUUUCAUAUUCUAGUGUUCUAUGGAUGAUUUUAUUGCUUUGAUCAGUUUUAUUAUGAGAGCUUCUGCAUGAUUCUAAAAUCCUGCUCAAAUUCUUCCUUUCUUCUCUGUCUCUUUAUUUUUCCUUUUCUGCUGUAAUGGUCAUUUCAGGGCAGUGUUAAUUACAGUCACUGACCAUUUUAAUUUGUCCUCUCCGUUAUAUGUGGCGUAAAAUAUUCGAAGUGUGUUAUGUUUAAUUAUCAAAAUACAUUCAAGUUCUUUUGGCUUCUUUUAUUUUGACUGUUAUUGCAUUAUUAUCCUGAACUGAUGAAUAGCACCUAGCACUGACUUAGUAGUUAAAGCUGUGUCAUGAACAUUCAAUGACUAUGCCCCAUCAUAUAAAUGUUAUAGAAUUUUUUUUUUUCCUUAUGUAUUGUAACAAAAUGCGCAGAAGUUGUAAGCAGAGUAUAAUGAAGGAGCACCAUUAUUUCUGGCAUGAAAUAGGAGACAAGGAACUACAAAUUCUGCCAUUCCUGGGAUGGUGUGAAUGUUAAAGUAAGGGGCUUGGAGGACAAGUUGCACUAGUGCAGUUCCUUGAAUAAAAUACAGUAUCAAGCAUUUCAACAGAAACAGG